CUCUGCUAGGGCACAACUUGGUGUGCAGCGCCGUCAACCCCCUUUGGGGGUCUCCUCCCCCAUUGGGGGGUUUUCUCCUCCACCAUGGAGGCUUUCCUCCCACAUUAGGUGGGUUCCUUCCCACAUCAGGUGGGUUUCUUCCACAUUAGGUGGAUUUCUUACCCAAAUAAGUGGGUUUUGUUUCUCUUGUUUUAGCUUGAGUUUCUCCCUUCCUUGGCCAUACACCCCAUCCUCCUCCCACCGCCACCCCCUCCUCCACCGGCCAACUCGUCGCCGCUGCCACCUCCAAAUCCGCCUCCUUUGCCUCCACCGCCAAAUCUGCCGCCACCUUCAACCAUCGGGUGUCAAAGCUCCAGAUCUAGAGCGUUCAUGUCUUUUUCAAAGGAACUAGGUCUCUGGUUUAGCCUCAAUGAUCCAGAAGCUCGACCUGUGGUGUGAUGCUCUGUUGCAACCUGUGCCUGAGGCCAUCUUCUUCU
RNAcentral lists this long non-coding RNA (476 nucleotides) under Lotus japonicus. Its description in RNAcentral is "long non-coding RNA (LJAP_LNC000176)". Lineage: Eukaryota; Viridiplantae; Streptophyta; Magnoliopsida; Fabales; Fabaceae. The record is from RNAcentral.